UGGUGAAUUAAGAGGCAACUCUUAACUGACCAUCUAGGGAAAAAUCGAGAGAUUCAAGCCUAGAGGGCAGAAAACUUCGCUGAGUAGCGCUAAAAUAGCGAGGUGGAAGGCAUGGCGGUAGCGCAUACAACGACGUGCCAA
Candidatus Pelagibacter sp. RS40 is the source of this 141-nucleotide non-coding RNA. The record is from Rfam. NCBI's taxonomy places the organism in Bacteria, Pseudomonadati, Pseudomonadota, Alphaproteobacteria, Candidatus Pelagibacterales, Candidatus Pelagibacteraceae.